UGGGCAUGGAGACUUAAAAGAUUAGAAC
This 28-nucleotide non-coding RNA is filed under the name Mus musculus (house mouse). Lineage: Eukaryota; Metazoa; Chordata; Mammalia; Rodentia; Muridae. The record is from RNAcentral.